CCACUAAAGAAAUGGUUUACCUCAGUUUGCUUAUUUCCUUGAAAGUCAAAUAUUUCCUCAUUUUCUAGGUUCUGCUGUUGUAGAAUAAUGCAGAAGUUUGUUUCCUAAAGUCUUAUAAAUAGAAACCCAUUUGUUCCUCAGAAAACAAUAACAGAAAAUGAUCCAUAUUGUGAAAACAUAUUGUUGAGGAAGUGCGACUGUUAGAAUGUGGCAUCUAUUCAGAUUUUUUUACAAACCAAUUUACUUUGGUUUAGUGAUGGAGUUAUCAAGAUUAGUUCAAACUGAUUGCUGUAAAGAGGGUAGUUUUUGUAUUGCUUGGCAUAUGCCCUUGUCACGCUGUGUAUAGCUACUUUGACUAUUGGGGGAAAGGAACAAUGGUCACAGUCUCAUCAGCAGCCACAGCCCCCCCUACUCUACUCACUCUUAUGAACUGUGGAACCCCUUCUAACGACAUCUACAGUCUCGGUUGUAUCGCUAAAGGCUUCUCGCCUUCCUCACACACCUUCAAAUGGACAGACGCCAGUGGGAAAGCGCUGACGGACUUCAUCCAAUACCCAGCAGUCCAGAGCGGGGAAACCUACACAGGAGUCAGUCAGCUCCGCGUGGCUAAGAAUGUCUGGGGAAACUCUAAGUCUUUCAGUUGUUCUGUGGAUCAUCCUGGAGGUGCGAAGACAGCAGUCAUCAAUAGACCAAUCUCAAAGCUUCCAACAGUGUCUUUGCUGUCUGCGCCCAUUGGCACCACCCAGUACCUGAUGUGUAUGAUUGAAGAUUUCACCCCCAAGAAAGUCACUGUCACCUGGAAGAAGAAUGACAUGGAGGUGGAGGGCCAGACCCCUACUGUAGGCCAACAGCCAUCAGGCCUCUACUCAGCCAGCAGUCUGCUGAAGGUCACCAACACUGACUGGAACAACAAGGUCAAGUACAGCUGUGUGGUGGAGCACCAGGGACAACCCACCACCGAGACGAUCUCCAAAACAGAACCACUGACGGUGACUCUGAACCCACCGAGUGUGAAAGAGGUGUUCUUGGACAACCAAGCGGUGCUGGACUGUGUCAUCAGUGGUACAGACCAGGACACAGUGUCUGGUACCAACAUCACCUGGCAGGUCAACGGACAGGCCAAGACGAGAGGCAUCAUUAUGAAACCUAUUGAAUCAAAGGGCAACCUGAACAGCAGGGUCAGUACUCUGACCAUAGACCAGACAGAGUGGACCAAUGUGAACAAAGUCCAGUGUUCUGCCAUGAAGAGAGGUGAAGACACACCGGUCAUUCAGGACAUCAGCUUCACUAAAGGAAGUGAAGCCCCUUCAGUGUCCGUCCACCUUCUCCCAGAGGAAGACACCAAGAAGGAGGGGGAAGUGACUCUGGUGUGCCUGGUGGUCUGCCCAUCUCUAUGUGACGUCUACAUCAUGUGGCAGGUGAACAGCAGCCAGUACCAGGAAGGGGUCACCAGCCCUCCCCAGAAAACCAAGAAAGGCAACUACUUCGUCACCAGCGUCUUCACCACUGCCAAGGAUAAGUGGGACACAAAUGUGCUUUUCACAUGCGCCGUCAAGCAUGCUGGCUUGGACAACAGCACCUCACCUAAGGAGAUGAGUGUGUCGAAGUCCAUGGCAAACAUCCUACUGACUGAGCCUGAGGCGGGCUUCGCUCUAAGCUGCACGGAUAACUUUGAGGAUGAGUUCAGCAGCCUGUGGUCCACCACCUCCUCCUUUAUCAUCCUCUUCCUUCUCUCUCUCACCUACAGCACAGUGCUUAGCCUGGUCAAGAUGAAGCAGUGAAGAACACAUGAUGGACUGCAGAGAUAGAUGGGUCUAGAUUAGAAAGAUAAUGGCCUGAGAUGGUUAUGGAGUAUAGUAGUGUUCUUCAGUAAUAAUGUUAUGUAUAUAUCCAAUACAGUAUUGAUUAUGAUUGAUUAGUAUUGUUGUUCUCAAUAUUAUACAAGCAUUGUGGUGAUAUGUUAUUUUUCAUUCAUUGGUUCAUUUUGUACAGUAUCUUUAAAUAUAAGUGUAUACUGUGAUGUCUGUGUGUCCUUUUUCACUUUAAGUUGCUGUCUUUCUUUUUACAUCCACUGGAUGCUAAUGCCGGGAGAAGGACACAUCCUAUAUACAAAGACAUUACUGAUUUGAGUGUUUCUGCUUGGCAGUUAUCUAUGUAGCCAAUAUACAGCUGUAUUCCCUCCCAGUACAGAUUAAAACAACGUUAGGCUAUAUCUGUAAUAUUUAACUAAGACUUCAACAUUCUGUUAUCAGUUGAUCUGAGGUGGUUUCUUGGUUCUCUAACUUGUCUAAUAAUAGUGUCAUGCAAAAGCAGCUUCCUCUCUCUUUAUCCCCUUGAUACCACACCUGUGGCACUGAAACUGUCCAGCAACUGCCAGGGCCACAAAUACACUUCCUUAAAAGAAGAGAAACACUGCAUGUACGAUAGCAACGCACGCACGCAUGCACACAGAAAUAUACAGUAUAUAUAUUGAGCUACAAAAGUAUUGGGACAGAGACACAUUUUUGGUGGAUUUGGCUUUGAAUUCCAGCACUUUGGAUUUGAAAUGAUUCUAUGACUAUGAGGUUAAAAUGCAGUCAACAUUAAUACGAGGUAAUUUUCAUCUAUAUCUGGUGACACUUUUUAGAAAUUCCAGCACUUUCUGUAUAUUGUCCCCCAAUUUUACAAAUCCACUUAUUAUACUGUAUGCGUAUUAAAGUUGUCAAAAGUUUAGUAAUUGUUCCCAAAUUCCGAGCACACAAUAAUUACAUUAAGCUUGUGAAUCUACAAAUUUGUUAGAUGCAUUUUUUCCACAAUUUCCAAUAGGUUGGAAUGAUCUUCUAUGUCAUAAAAGUCAUGCAUUUAAUUCAAACAUCGGACUGCCAAAUGGUGAAGCAUGAUUCAUCACUCCAGAGAACAUGUUUCCAUUGCUCCAAUGGUGGCGAGCUUUACACCACUCCAGCCAACGCUUGGUGAUCUUAGGCUUGUGUGUGACUGCUCGGCCAUGGAAACCCAUUUCUUGAAGAUCCUGAUGAACAGUUCUUGUGCAGACAUUGCUUCCAGAGACAGUUUGGUACUCGGUAGUGAGUGUUGCAACCGAGGACAGAUCAAUUUUUCACACGCUCUGCGCUUUUGCACUUGGCGGCCCAAUUCUGUGAGCUUGUGUGGCCUACCACUUCAGGGCUGAGCCGUUGCUCCAAGAUGUAUCCACUUCAAAUCAAAUCAUACUUAUUUUCCCCCAUAAUUUGCAAAUAAAUUCAUUAAAAAUCCUA
This is a non-coding RNA of Oncorhynchus kisutch (coho salmon), 3251 nucleotides long. NCBI's taxonomy places the organism in Eukaryota, Metazoa, Chordata, Actinopteri, Salmoniformes, Salmonidae. The record is from the annotation of a RefSeq genome assembly.